CGUCAACACUGUAAACGCUGUAAACAUUUGCUCUGCUUUCUAUCUAAUUAAAAUUGAAAUGUAAUUGAUAAUAGUUCUGGAAGAUAUUCAAUAUAAUAAAAACAGGAAAUUUUUGAUAAUAAUAUCGAUAAAGAAAGAAUGAAAAUUAAUAAGUUCUUUAAGACUCGUACAUAACCUCAAAUCUUUCAAUAAUCCUGCGACAGUCGUUUGGAGUAAUGUCAAUUCACUCCCUCGUGAAAAAUAUUAAUUUUCCUAUUAAUUUUCGUAUAUUUAAUAAAUCACGUAAAUUUAAUUUCCGUCAGUAAAAUUAAUGAAAUGAAUGAAAUUAAUAAAAAUUAAUAAUAAUAAAAUAAUAUAGGGUUUUAGGACCCAAUAGUAAAAAACUUGAAAACUGACAAGGAAGAGACAAGACAAUAAUGACAACGUCCGCUGUCAGAAGGUGUGCUUGAUUUAAUUGUGUAUGGUGAAAUAAACUAGUUAUAAAAUUGUGCAAAAACUUUUUUUUUCCGAUAAAAAUUGAUGAUUUUGUUAAAAAAAGGAGAAUUCAUGGAACAUGAUAAUCGAAGAUAUCCAGCUUGAUUAAAUGACUGGAAAAUUGUUGUUGCAUCGAUAUGCAAUAUUUUGUAGAGUUAAUGCCAACUCAUCUAUACGAAAAUUAUUAAAAGCUGUAUAUGUUACACACCCAAUAAAAGACGUAUUUAAUUUUCGAUAAAAAUACAUCAUCCAAAGUGUUUAAUUAAACAAUAAUCGCGUGUCAUGAGUUAAUUAAUUAUUGAAGAGAAAAGUAAUUUGCCGACAAUGACAAGCUCAAUAGUUGGUGGUGGUCUAGAAUCAGUGACAAAAUUUUUUGAAAUUCUUCAAUCUGAUCUCAAGAUACUUGCUGGUGAAACUAAAAAGAAAUAUCCGCAAAUUAAAGAGUCAUGCGAGGAGGGAAUCGCAAAACUAAGAUCCGCAUCUGGAAAUCCAGGAAGUCAAAUAUAUUAUGUGGUUAAUCAAAUUUUAUAUCCCCUGGUUCAAGGCUGUGAAAGUAAAGAUGUAAAAAUUAUUAAGUUUUGCUUGGGAGUAAUGCAAAGAUUAAUUACUCAACAAGCUGUGGAUCAAAAGGGUGCACGUUACAUCACGGAUACACUAUGGAUGUUGAUGGAAGCUGGAACAGAAGAAGUAAAAGUACUGCAAACAGUUACAUUGUUACUCACGAGUAAUACACUCGUUCAUGGAGAGACGCUUUCAAGGAAUCUUGUCUUGUGUUUUCGAUUGCAUUUCACUAAAGAUUCGACAACAAUAAACACAGCUGGUGCAACUGUGAGACAAUUGGUGUCAUUAGUAUUUGAACGUGUCGUGGCUGAAGAUGAGGAAAAUCCUGAACAGCGUUCGAUUGAAGAGAUUAAUUUAGAGGAAUUGAAAUCACCAACGAAUCAACCUCCGAAAGGCCUCGGACCAUGUGCUGCCGAUGCUUUUUUAAUGUUCCAGGAUUUAGUUCAAUUGGUGAACGCAGAUCAACCUUAUUGGUUAACAGGAAUCACAGAAAUGACCCGAACUUUUGGUUUGGAGUUGUUGGAAUCAGUUUUAAUUAAUUUCUCGUCUGUAUUUUUUAAGCAUCCGGAAUUUAGUUUUCUAUUGAAGGAAAGAGUUUGUGCUUUGGUUAUUAAACUAUUUUCACCAAAUAUAAAAUACAGAAAUUCGGUUCCAGCUUCAAUUCAACAAGCAACACCUCUUGAUAAACCUUAUUUUCCCAUUAGCAUGAGACUUUUACGUGUUGUUUCCAUUUUGAUACAAAAAUAUCAUUCUCUGCUGGUGACGGAAUGUGAAAUAUUUCUUUCGUUAAUUGUGAAAUUUCUUGAUCCUGACAAACCAGUUUGGCAACGGGCUUUAGCACUGGAAGUUUUACACAAAAUGACCGUACAAUCCGAUUUAUUGACAAGCUUUUGCAAUUGUUAUGAUCUUAAACCACACGCAACUAAUAUAUUUCAAGAUAUUGUUAAUAGUUUAGGUGCUUAUGUGCAUAGUCUUUUUGUGAAUCCGCACAUGAUCGGCUCGUCUAGUAUGGGCUCAUCAACACCGGCUGUGCAGUCAACAGCACCGGCUCUCUUAGCUGGUAUGCCAAUUGGUCCUGGCGUAUCUCCUCAACCUGGAUUUUAUUCCAGAGGAAUAUGGUUGCCCGUGGUUGUCACGUUUCCUAGUGGACAAGCAAAAUCUACAUAUCUCGAUAUGUUGGAUAAAAUUGAACCGCCACAGAUACCGGACGGUUAUGGAAUCAGUAUUGCAUACGCUUGUUUGUUGGAUAUAAUUCGCUCAAUAGCGUUGGCAAUUAUUGGCUCCAGAGAGGAGAAUACAGAACAUCGGUAUAAUCCUACGGAAGCUGAAAAGAAACUUCAUGUUCAAUUAAUUAAUUCAAGUUGGUGUGGUCUACUGGCGGCUCUCAGCCCCUUGAUAGACGCUAGUACUGAUGAAUCAGCGACGGAAAAUGUUCUCAAAGAAAUACAAACGUUCGCAUCAUUGUGCGGUUUACUCGAUUUGAAUACACCCCGAGACGCUUUUAUAACAGCAAUUUGCAAAGCUUCAUUACCUCCGCAUUAUGCUCUCACUGUUCUCUACAGUGCUCCACAAGGAAUUCCCAGUGCACGACCACAAGAUUCUGUACAAUAUAAUCCCGCAUCAAUGGGAGAUUCUGAUUACCGACAGCAAGUCGUUGCCGUUGGAACACCCUUACCCACAGCUUCAUUGCCAAUUGGAGCUCAACAAGGACCAGUUAUGUUGACGGUGAAAAAUCUUCAAUGCAUGAGAGCUUUACUUUUAUUGGCGCAUUGUCAUGGCAGUAUUUUGGGAACUGCUUGGCAUUUAGUGUUGACGACUCUUCAACAUCUAGCUUGGAUUUUGGGACUGAAACCAUCGACGGGAGGUUCUUUGAAGGCAGGAAAAACCGCUGCCGACUCGAAUGCAAUGCUAACAACGGCUGUCAUGGCAGAUUUACCGGUUCUCAGCGCAAUGCUCAGCAGAUUAUUCGAGAGUAGUCAACAUCUCGAUGAUGUUGCUCUUCAUCAUUUAAUUGACGCCCUGUGUAAACUGAGCCAUGAGGCUAUGGAAUUGGCAUAUUCUAACAGAGAGCCAUCAUUGUUCGCUGUGGCAAAACUUUUAGAGACUGGACUUGUAAAUUUACCUCGAGUGGAAGUUUUGUGGCGACCACUUACAAAUCAUUUGCUUGAGGUUUGUCAGCAUCCGCACAUUCGCAUGAGAGAAUGGGGAGUCGAAGCAAUUACCUAUCUCGUGAAAGCUGCUCUUCAACAUAAAUAUCCUCAACCACUUCGUGAUAAUCAGAAAUUGCAAGUGUUACUUUUGGGACCUUUGUCCGAAUUGUCGUCGGUUCGUCACGCAGACGUCAGGCAACGACAAUUGGAAUGUGUUUUACAAGUUCUUCACGGUGCAGGAGAAACUUUGUAUCAUGGUUGGCCUUUGGUGCUUGGAAUAAUUGGCGCUGUUUCCGAUCAUCACGGGGAAAACUUAGUUCGCAUAGCGUUCCAGUGUCUUCAGUUGGUAGUCACGGAUUUCUUACCAGUAAUGCCUUGGCGUUGCCUUCCUUUGUGCGUCGACACUGCUGCUAGAUUUGGAUCACAAACACAGGAAUUAAAUAUUUCCCUGACCGCCGUUGGAUUAAUGUGGAACAUUAGUGAUUACUUUUAUCAAAAUCAAGAGAAACUCUGCGUCUCAUUGCGAGGAGAUUUGGCGAAUGUGUUUCCCGAUUUUCCUGGGACAACGAAUAUGCCAGCGUUUGAUAAAUUAUGGAUGUGUCUUUACGCGAGAUUAGGCGAUCUUUGCGUGGAUUCAAGACCAGCUGUUCGAAAAUCUGCUAGUCAAACAUUAUUUUCGACAAUUUCGGCUCACGGUGGACUUUUGCAUCAACCGACCUGGCAAGCUGUACUCUGGCAGGUACUCUUUCCUCUUCUCGAUAAGGUCAGAUGUCUAUCGAGUUCGGCGAGUAACGAGAAAGUCGAUAGUGGCGGUAAUAUUCUUAUUCAUCACAGCAGAAAUACGGCGCAAAAACAGUGGGCCGAAACUCAGGUUUUAACAUUGAGUGGCGUUGCUCGUGUUUUUAACACGAAACGACAGUUGUUACAAAUGUUGGGAGAUUUUCCACGCGCUUGGUCUCUUCUUCUGGAGUUCAUCGAAAAUUCCGCUCUCAGUAAAAAUAAUGAGGUUUCUUUGGCGGCUUUAAAAUCGUUUCAAGAAAUUUUGUAUUUGCCGAAAAAUGCCGACAAUGUUGAUCCAGUGCAUUCGGAAGAUUCCGAAGUCUUAUGGUUGGUUGCUUGGCGAGUUUGGUUGAGUAUUGGAACGGAAAGUACGAGCCCACCUCAGGAAAAUGAAGUCGAUCUUUACGUUCCCUCGCAAGCUUUCCUCACCGCUUUGGUUCAAAUAUUCCCAGCAGUGUUUCAACACAUUAAGAACAAAUACACGAGUAAUGAUUUACAAAAAUUGUGUUCGGUCCUGAAAAAUGCGAUUGCUGUUCCCGUUCAUGGAGAGUCAACUCCCUAUAUUUUACCUACAAUUCCAGAUGCUAUUCUCACUCAACUUCAGGAUGGAAUUUUGCACUCGAUGGAACUUUUGCAGAAGGAAGCACUCACGAGUUCUGAGAAUUUAAAAACGAUGAUCGGUCCAAUUUUCCUGCAACUUUUAUAUUUCCUAAAACUGGCCUGCGAGGCGCCAACAUACGGAAAAGUCACGACAAAAAAUAUUUCUCAAGUGAGAGGUGUAUCUUCCGACUGGGUGACAAUGAACUAUGUGCCUUUUGGAGAAAAAGCCUUAUCAAUGGUAGUGAAUUUAUAUCAAAAAACCGCACAUGAAUCACCAGUGAUUGAAGGGCAAAUAUUACGACAUAUUAUUGAAGCUCUACAUUUGCCACUGUCCAUGAAAUAUAAAUGUCCUUCGCAAACAACAUGGAAAUUAGCAAUUACUAAUCUUCUUACCAUUUUGCAUAUUGGAAUUCCCCUUGCCAGAAAAAAUUCGGAACCAUUUCAAAAUAUGUGGCCAAAAUUGGCAGACACGUUGGACGAUUUUCUAUUUCCCAAAAGCGCUUUAAAUUCGGAGAGAGGAGUCGAGGAAAUUCAAGCAGACGAGGCUGUGGAUUGUCAAGUCAUGGAACUCCUCCGAGACGAAGUGCUACCUCAUUCACAACAUAUUCCCCAUCAAUUUAUUCUACGAGUCGUUAUGCUUUUAAAUAAGGGUUCCAUACACUCGGCAACGGCAACGAAUAUAGAGAAAAAUGGAGAGCCAAAAUUACGAGAAGAAUUUGCAAAGACGUGUUUCGAAACUCUACUACAAUUUUCAUUGCUUGACGGUUUGAGCAACGAACUUGAAUCGAGUAGAGAAAAAUUAUUCGAAGACGAGGGAGGAAUCGCCGGAAGAUUAGCGGUCACGGCUCUUCUUCACAGGUUUCAAGAAGUUCUGAAACGCUACAUCGACGAUGAGAAGAGAAGUGGGAAAUGUCCCCUACCCAGAUACAGAUUGUCAGAGAUUUCUUUCGUUUUAAAAGCCGUUGCUACUCUUGUUGUUUCUCUUAAAAAAGCGCCCGCAAAUAAAGUUGAACGAUCAGUCUGGGAACAGCUGAUUGGCCUUUAUCCAUGUUUGGUGGAAUGCACCGUUGCCACUGCAUCUGGACCAGUUUCACGAUCACUACGGGAAGCAUUAAUGCAAUAUCAUGAUUUAUUGCGACCUCCUCCUUUAUCGAAUGCACCCACGUCCAAUGGUGUUUGACCAACACAUUCGAUUCUAUUAACUAGAAGUUUCCGUCAGUGUCCGUAACGCUACUAAAUAUUAUACAUUUAGAGCAGUAUUGAAACUCUUUUAAUGAAACCAGAGUUUUUCUUGUACAAAUCAAUUUAGAAUUGAUAUUGUCUGCUUUUAUAGAAUGUGUAUAUAUUUAAAUAUUUAUACGAAACGUUGCUGUCUCAUUUUUUUUUUCAUUGGGAAUUGCAACGUAAAUUAAUUUCUUUUCUAAUGGGCUCUAUCAAACAGAGAUCGAACUGAAUCAACUUUUUAAUAAAACCUGAUUAGAUAUUUAAAUAUGAAUAUUAUAAAAAUGUUACUAUAAUAAAAUUUAAUUAAAGAAAAAAAACUAAUAAAAAUAAUAGUAGUAAUAAGACGUUAGAAUCGAAUAAAAACAAAAACUUGAUUCUCCAAUAUUAUAGAAAAAAUGAUAAAAUAUUGAUAAUUUCAGUAGAAGCUUUUUAAAACAGGUAAAAAAAAAAGUUGAGUAACAAGUAUUAAUUUCACAUUCUUUUUCAAUGAGCCCAAUUUAUGAUAAAUUUUGCUAAAUAGUGUCUUCAGCAAUAAAUUGAUUGUCAAGUUGACUAACUAUGAGAAAAAGACUUGAGACAAUUUUACAAUAUUAUAUAAAUAAUAAUUAUAAAAAGUACAGGGAGAAAAAUUCUUUCUACUUAAUAAAUACUGUAGAGAAAAUUUACAUUCCACGAAAAAAAAAGCUUCAUUUCAAUUUUAAGUGUCAAUGUCUAUUGGGCUGAAUAGUUGUGAACAAAAAAAUGAUAUAAAAAUAAUUUCAAAUAACUAUAUUAAUUCAUUGUCAAUUGAUAAUUAAUUAAAUAUAUUAUUUGUUGUUGGAAAUAAAUUGUUGAUAAUAAAGAAUUUUUCGAAUAUUCGCAACAAAAUAAUACAAUCAAACAAAAGAUACAAAUAUUUAUUAUAAUUAAUUAAUAACCAUUAAUUAAUUAAUCAAAAACAAGAUAAUAUAUAUUUUCUAAAGAAAAAGUGUUCGAAAGGUAGAAAAAUUAAAAUCUUUUAAUCGAGCUUUUUACUUAUCGGUUUGUAAAAGCGAAUAUUAAAAUUACGUAAUUCUAAAUUAAUUAAUUUUAAUUGAACUGAAUUCGAAGUUAUUAAAUUAUAUCCCAUUAAAUUCUAUUUGCGUUUGAAAUUUUUGUUAUAAAAUAAAAUCACAAAAAAAUAUUUCUGAAAC
Leptopilina heterotoma is the source of this 6961-nucleotide RNA transcript. It is a transcript of the gene named protein MON2 homolog, with no coding region annotated. The record is from RefSeq and is a predicted model, not a curated record. The transcript has 25 exons. Lineage: Eukaryota; Metazoa; Arthropoda; Insecta; Hymenoptera; Figitidae.